UACGAAGGGGGCUAGCGUUGUUCGGAAUUACUGGGCGUAAAGGGCGCGUAGGCGGCGCUCUUAGUCAGAUGUGAAAUUCCUGGGCUUAACCUGGGGGCUGCAUUUGAUACGUGGUUGCUUGAGUGGGGAAGAGGGUCGUGGAAUUCCCAGUGUAGAGGUGAAAUUCGUAGAUAUUGGGAAGAACACCGGUGGCGAAGGCGGCGACCUGGUCCUUGACUGACGCUGAGGCGCGAAAGCGUGGGGAGCAAACAGG
This 253-nucleotide ribosomal RNA is filed under the name uncultured bacterium. RNAcentral describes it as "partial 16S ribosomal RNA". It matches the Rfam family "Bacterial small subunit ribosomal RNA", at positions 524 to 776 of the family's 1533-position model. The record is from RNAcentral.